AUUAGUGGAAUACUGACAAAAUAGGUCACGAGCAUAUUGAGAGCGAGAGAAACGGAUGCAAGAGAUCAUAUUGGUCUCUUGUUUGCUAUCAUGGCAUUGGUGGAGGGUGACUUCUAGCUGUAUUUUUGGCCUUUUGGCGCAGUAAUGGCAGUUUCCUUCCUGUCUCUUUUUUGGUUGUGUUGUUUUAAGUUUUGUUUUUGUCUUUCGAAGAAUAUCAUUGUCAGCUCUGGUUAUGUUUCCUUCCUAAUGAAUAAUAUUUAUUUUUCAAGGGGGGAGAGGGAUAAUUAUCUGUAGAAGUGGCUUGUAAUUUUGAUGUGGCCUAACAUGUGACCUGACCUGAAAAUCCCAUGCCAUGGACCAAGAAUCAUUUUAAAAGUUUGAGUCCUUUUCUAUUGGUCUCUUAGCUACUAUUACAUCCUCUUCUGUUGUGUUUUUCUUAAAAUACUUGACUCAUUGUUAGUUUCGAGGCUGGCAUUAUAAAUUGCUUCAUGUGGUUUUCUGGGUUUCUCAACUUGUUUCAGCCGACCCAGGGAUAGAUUCCGCGAAAGAGAAAAUGGAAGAUCUGGUAAUGAAGGGAGCACUAGAGCUGGAUCUCGGACAUUCACGGGACAACUUCCUACUAUUUUACAGUCGCGUGACCGACAGGAUGACACCGGCAGCAUGUACGAAGAAAAUGUUGACGGAAGCAAGGAUUCAGGGGACACCAGCAGCAUUGGAGAUCCGGAAUUAGUCUCAGCAUUUGAAGGCCCGUCUAGUGGAUACGGUUCUCAAAGGCACAGUUCAAGAGGAAGCAAGUCAAGGCAACUUGGAGAACGUAGGGACAGAGACAGCAGACGUGAAGGGAAAUGGGAAAGGAAACAUUCUUAGCUACUGGGCAUGGAGUUGUGCAUUAGAUUAGGUCUCUGUGUGUAUAUAAUAUAACAAUAUAUACAUGCGCAAAACCAAACCGUGGGAAUGGACAUUUUUACAACUUUAAUUUGGGGAAUUCUGUGCAGAACCUUGGGCAGCAUGUCUCUUUGGUCUUGCUACAUGGUUAAACAGUGUUGUAGAUUAGUAUGUAUAGCUGAAUUAGAUGUUGGUCCAUGUUUCUGUUCAAUAGUUUGGAGGACUGACAGAUUAUUCACAUGCAUGUAUGCAAGAUUAGAUCUUUUCCCCUCCAACCACUGUAAAUGAUUGAAAUUUCAUUGUGACUGUAAGUUUACCCUGUGACCAAAUUUGUUUUUCAUCUGUUGUAAUAGAUUCCUGGAAAUGAAACAUUUUACCGUUGUAACCGUUUUGAUUGAUAGUGUUCAAUAAAGUAGAUGUUGGAUACCAA
Vigna umbellata (rice bean) is the source of this 1315-nucleotide non-coding RNA. NCBI's taxonomy places the organism in Eukaryota, Viridiplantae, Streptophyta, Magnoliopsida, Fabales, Fabaceae. The record is from RefSeq and is a predicted model, not a curated record.